UCUUGGGUCAUUUAGAGGAAGUAAAAGUCGUAACAAGGUCUCCGUUGGUGAACCAGCGGAGGGAUCAUUAUCGAGUUAUUCAACUCCCAAACCCUAUGUGAACUUACCACUUGUUGCUUCGGCGCGCGCUUCGGCGCCGCCGAGGACACUUAAACUCUUUGUUUUUAUAAGCAUUUCUGAGUGGCCGAAAGGCAAAAAUACAAAUGAAUCAAAACUUUCAACAACGGAUCUCUUGGUUCUGGCAUCGAUGAAGAACGCAGCGAAAUGCGAUAAGUAAUGUGAAUUGCAGAAUUCAGUGAAUCAUCGAAUCUUUGAACGCACAUUGCGCCCGCCAGCAUUCUGGCGGGCAUGCCUGUUCGAGCGUCAUUUCAACCCUCGAGCCCGACUCUUUUGAGGACGGCUCGGCGUUGGGGGACGGCAGACUCCCCCCGGCAUCUCGCCGGGGACGCCGCCCCCGAAAUCUAGUGGCGGCCCUCCGAGGCGACCUCUGCGUAGUAACUUGUUCUCGCACCGGAAAGCUCAGAGCGGCCACGCCGUAAAACCCCAACUUUUUUCAGGUUGACCUCGAAUCAGGUAGGACUACC
Molecule: ribosomal RNA, 584 nt
Filed under: uncultured fungus
Lineage: Eukaryota; Fungi
Description: eukaryotic LSU rRNA
Rfam family: 5.8S ribosomal RNA (bases 213-366)
Source: RNAcentral